UACGAAGGGGGCUAGCGUUGCUCGGAAUCACUGGGCGUAAAGGGUGCGUAGGCGGGUCUUUAAGUCAGGGGUGAAAUCCUGGAGCUCAACUCCAGAACUGCCUUUGAUACUGAAGAGCUCGAGUCCGGGAGAGGUGAGUGGAACUGCGAGUGUAGAGGUGAAAUUCGUAGAUAUUCGCAAGAACACCAGUGGCGAAGGCGGCUUACUGGCUCAUUUCUGACGCUGAGGUGCGAAAGCGUGGGGAGCAAACAGG
RNAcentral lists this ribosomal RNA (253 nucleotides) under uncultured bacterium. RNAcentral's name for it is "partial 16S ribosomal RNA". It matches the Rfam family "Bacterial small subunit ribosomal RNA", at positions 524 to 776 of the family's 1533-position model. The record is from RNAcentral.